UUCCGGUUGAUCCUGCCGGACCCGACUGCUAUCAGAGUGGGACUAAGCCAUGCGAGUCAACAUAGCAAUAUGUGGCAUACGGCUCAGUAACACGUAGUCAACAUGCCCAGGGGACGUGGAUAACCUCGGGAAACUGAGGAUAAACCGCGAUAAGUCACUGCUUCUGGAAUGGGCAAUGACUUAAAUCUAUAUGGCCCCUGGAUUGGACUGCGGCCGAUCAGGCUGUUGGUGAGGUAAUGGCCCACCAAACCUGUAACCGGUACGGGCUCUGAGAGGAGGAGCCCGGAGAUGGGCACUGAGACAAGGGCCCAGGCCCUAUGGGGCGCAGCAGGCGCGAAACCUCUGCAAUAGGCGAAAGCCUGACAGGGUUACUCUGAGUGAUUUCCGUUAAGGAGAUCUUUUGGCACCUCUAAAAAUGGUGCAGAAUAGGGGGUGGGCAAGUCUGGUGUCAGCCGCCGCGGUAAUACCAGCACCCCGAGUGGUCGGGACGUUUAUUGGGCCUAAAGCAUCCGUAGCCGGUUCUGCAAGUCUUCCGUUAAAUCCACCUGCUUAACAGAUGGGCUGCGGAAGAUACUAUAGAGCUAGGAGGCGGGAGAGGCAAGCGGUACUCGAUGGGUUGGGGUAAAAUCCGUUGAUCCAUUGAAGACCACCAGUGGCGAAGGCGGCUUGCCAGAACGCGCUCGACGGUGAGGGAUGAAAGCUGGGGGAGCAAACCGGAUUAGAUACCCGGGUAGUCCCAG
RNAcentral lists this ribosomal RNA (740 nucleotides) under uncultured archaeon. Its description in RNAcentral is "bacterial SSU rRNA". It matches the Rfam family "Archaeal small subunit ribosomal RNA", at positions 1 to 750 of the family's 1478-position model. The record is from RNAcentral.